UGUAUUACCGAGUGGGUCCCGAGAUACCUGUCCGUCACACGGAGUGACAAAUCCCAGUCUUGAUCCAUACAAACUCAACGGACACCUUCGGAGAUACCUGUAGAACACCUUUAUGGUCACCCAGUUACGUUGUGACAUUCGAUGCACACAAGGUAUUCCUCCGGUGCCAGUGAGUUAUACGAUCUCAUGGUCAUAGGAACAAAUACUUGACAUGCAGAAAACAAUAGCAAUAAAACGACACGUUCAAUAUGUUAUGU
RNAcentral lists this long non-coding RNA (257 nucleotides) under Hordeum vulgare. Its description in RNAcentral is "long non-coding RNA (HVUL_LNC016647)". The record is from RNAcentral. Lineage: Eukaryota; Viridiplantae; Streptophyta; Magnoliopsida; Poales; Poaceae.